UACGUAGGGUGCGAGCGUUAAUCGGAAUUACUGGGCGUAAAGCGUGCGUAGGCGGUUUUGUAAGCCAGAUGUGAAAUCCCCGGGCUCAACCUGGGAAUGGCAUUUGGAACUGCAAGACUAGAGUAUGGCAGAGGAGACUAGAAUUUCUGGUGUAGCAGUGAAAUGCGUAGAUAUCAGAAGGAAUACCGAUGGCGAAGGCAGGUCUCUGGGUUAAUACUGACGCUCAUGCACGAAAGCGUGGGGAGCAAACAGG
This 253-nucleotide ribosomal RNA is filed under the name uncultured bacterium. Its description in RNAcentral is "partial 16S ribosomal RNA". It matches the Rfam family "Bacterial small subunit ribosomal RNA", at positions 524 to 776 of the family's 1533-position model. The record is from RNAcentral.